RNAcentral lists this ribosomal RNA (468 nucleotides) under uncultured bacterium. Its description in RNAcentral is "partial 16S ribosomal RNA". It matches the Rfam family "Bacterial small subunit ribosomal RNA", at positions 28 to 507 of the family's 1533-position model. The record is from RNAcentral.
GACGAACGCUGGCGGCGUGCUUAACACAUGCAAGUCGAACGGAAAGGCCCUGCUUUUGUGGGUUGCUCGAGUUGCGAACGGGUGAGUAACACGUGAGUAACCUGCCCUGGACUUUGGUAUAACUUCAGGAAACUGGGGCUAAUACCGGAUAGGAGCUCCUGCUGCAUGGUGGGGGUUGGAAUGUUUCGGCGGUUGGGGAUGGACUCGCGGCUUAUCAGCUUGUUGGUGGGGUAGUGGCUUACCAAGGCUUUGACGGGUAGCCGGCCUGAGAGGGUGACCGGCCACAUUGGGAAUGAGAGACGGCCCAGACUCCUACGGGAGGCAGCAGUGGGGAAUAUUGCACAAUGGGCGGAAGCCUGAUGCAGCAACGCCGCGUGCGGGAUGACGGCCUUCGGGUUGUAAACCGCUUUCGCCUGUGACGAAGCGUGAGUGACGGUAAUGGGUAAAGAAGCACCGGCUAACUACGUG